AACGAACGCUGGCGGCAUGCCUAACACAUGCAAGUCGAACGACAGCUCCGGGUCGGGAGGCGCCCGGGUGCGUAACGCGGGGGAAGCUGCCCUUAGGUUCGGAAUAGCUCCCCGAAGGGGGUGCUACUGCGGGAUAACGGCUUCGGACCAAAGAUUUAUCGCCGUUGGAUGGGCCCGCGUUGGAUUAGCCCGUUAGUAGGGUAAAAGCCUAUGAAGGCGACGAUCCAUAGCUUGGCGGAGAGGAUGAUCAGCCACACUGGGAAUGGGCCACGGGCCAGACUACUACGGGAUGCAGCAGUGGGGAAUCUUGGACAAUGGGCGGAAGCCUGAUGCAGCGAUGCCGCGUGAGUGAUUUAGUCCUUAGGGUAGGAAAGUGCUUUUACCCGGGAUGAUAAUGACAGUACCGGAAGAAUAAGCUCCGGCUAACUCCGUG
Molecule: ribosomal RNA, 433 nt
Filed under: uncultured bacterium
Lineage: Bacteria
Description: partial 16S ribosomal RNA
Rfam family: Bacterial small subunit ribosomal RNA
Source: RNAcentral